GAUGAACGCUGGCGGCGUGCCUAAUACAUGCAAGUCGAGCGAACAGAUGAGGAGCUUGCUCCUCUGACGUUAGCGGCGGACGGGUGAGUAACACGUGGAUAACCUACCUAUAAGACUGGGAUAACUUCGGGAAACCGGAGCUAAUACCGGAUAAUAUAUUGAACCGCAUGGUUCAAUAGUGAAAGACGGUUUUGCUGUCACUUAUAGAUGGAUCCGCGCCGCAUUAGCUAGUUGGUAAGGUAACGGCUUACCAAGGCGACGAUGCGUAGCCGACCUGAGAGGGUGAUCGGCCACACUGGAACUGAGACACGGUCCAGACUCCUACGGGAGGCAGCAGUAGGGUAUCUUCCGCAAUGGGCGAAAGCCUGACGGAGCAACGCCGCGUGAGUGAUGAAGGUCUUCGGAUCGUAAAACUCUGUUAUUAGGGAAGAACAAAUGUGUAAGUAACUAUGCACGUCUUGACGGUACCUAAUCAGAAAGCCACGGCUAACUACGUG
This 497-nucleotide ribosomal RNA is filed under the name uncultured bacterium. RNAcentral's name for it is "partial 16S ribosomal RNA". It matches the Rfam family "Bacterial small subunit ribosomal RNA", at positions 28 to 507 of the family's 1533-position model. The record is from RNAcentral.